RNAcentral lists this long non-coding RNA (403 nucleotides) under Rattus norvegicus (Norway rat). Its description in RNAcentral is "long non-coding RNA NONRATT023156". Lineage: Eukaryota; Metazoa; Chordata; Mammalia; Rodentia; Muridae. The record is from RNAcentral.
AAGACCUGCUCACUGUGGAUGUCCUAGGCAGGGGAUUCUGGACAGUCUAAGAGUGGAGAAAGCAAGCUGAUCACUACUGUCUUAAGUUAGGGUUUACUGCUGUGAGCAGACACCAUGACAAAGGCAACUCUUACAAGGACAGCUGGCUCACAGGUUCAGAGGUUCAGUCCAUUAUCAUCAAGGCAGGAGCAUGGCAGCAUCCAGGCAGACAUGGUGCAGGAGGAGCUGAGAGGUUGGUAUUUUGUUUUCUGUAUAAUGAAGGGUUGAAUUUUUCUCAUAUUUCUUCAUCUAGUGUCUAUGAGGUAUUUACCUAGUUUCUCCAUGUAGACUUAGCAAAUUUGUUCAAACUUUGUGUACUGUAGGUUAACAAGUUUUGUUAAGUGAGGCUGGGAAUGUGGUAGUG